AAUAAGAACUCGGACCCAAUCUGAGCUUGCUAUAGCAAUACAGUCUAACCUAUUCCGGUGCCUGUCCUCUAUGAGACAAGCCGUUACAUAGACUUAGUGUUA
RNAcentral lists this small nucleolar RNA (102 nucleotides) under Myotis lucifugus (little brown bat). Its description in RNAcentral is "Small nucleolar RNA SNORA28 (ENSMLUG00000022081.2)". It matches the Rfam family "Small nucleolar RNA SNORA28", at positions 24 to 126 of the family's 126-position model. Rfam says of the family: ACA28 is a member of the H/ACA class of snoRNA that guide the sites of modification of uridines to pseudouridines. Lineage: Eukaryota; Metazoa; Chordata; Mammalia; Chiroptera; Vespertilionidae. The record is from RNAcentral.